Molecule: long non-coding RNA, 3563 nt
Organism: Wyeomyia smithii (pitcher-plant mosquito)
Lineage: Eukaryota; Metazoa; Arthropoda; Insecta; Diptera; Culicidae
Exons: 2
Source: RefSeq, a predicted model, not a curated record
AAGGAUUCGCAGAAAUAGUAAACGAUUAGAUUCGCAUUAGCUGUUUCGAGGAGAUUUCAAAGGAAUCUUACAGUCAACGGUGAGUCCUAAGAUUAAACGUUACUUAGAAACACUGGGCAUCAGGAUCACAAGCCUGUUGUGAAAGCGUUUACGCGGAUUCCCAAAUCUUUCUAAGUCUUUUGUACAGAGCCAAGGACCGGGAAGAACUGCAUAUGUGCAAAGCGCAGAAGCCUCCAAAUCGUAGCGAAUGGUAAAAUACGGUGGGAAAGUCACGAGCCCGGAAACUGUACACCCAGAUGAAUGAUGAGACUAACGUUAAUGCGCACCUCUGGCAGCUUCCGGGGCUACUGUUCAUCACUGCCCAGUACAAGUUUUAUGUUCCUGAGGAAGUAAAGAAGCAGAUAUUUUCAAAGUUUGCCAAGAAAUACCUGAUUUGGCAAGCGGUCUGCUUAUGUGGAAAAAGGAAUGCACCGCUUGUGACUACCGGGACUGUAACCGAAAAGAUCUACCUCAAUGAGUGUCUACAGAAGCAGUUACUUCCUCUGUUGAAACAACACGAAGGACCUACGAUCUUCUGGCUGAAUCUAGGUUUACGCCAUUAUUCAAAUUAUGUCCAGGAGUGGCAGCAAGUCAAUGGGGUCACUUUCUUACCCAGGGACAUAAACUCCCCCAACGCACGCACCCCAAUCUGAAAGAAUUUUCUCAUAACUUUAACAUUCCUGCACUUUGGAUUCUUGAGAAAUGAAUGAGUAGGUUUUCCAUAUGCGAUUCCCACAGAUUAUAUCUGUAGCGCGGAAACGAUUGCUAUCAAAAUUCCAUCACUGAACUAUCCAUGCCAAAACUGGUGUCGUGGAAUCACCGUUUUGAGGUCAAUUUUGUCCGAUUUAAGGCAUGUUUUUUUUUCAAAGAUGGGUACGAAAAUGCUAUUACGUGGACAAACUCUUAUGAUUUUGAUAUUUGGCUUUAAAACAAAAGUUCCAAGUGGGGCCUUUGCUGUCUCAUAAGGUGAAAUAGGUCUCAAAUCGGGGAAUUUAUUUAAAUUUUUUGUUGCACUGUGUUAUCUGAGAAUUUAAAUUUAGGAUUCUCUGUGUGUUAGUUAUUCAGAAUAUAGCUCAAAAAUUCUUACAUUUGGAUUCUGUCUGCGUUGUGGAAAUAAUUUCGCUCACGAUUUCGUCACCGAGUUCUCUAUGAGGAUCCAUGCCAAACGCAAGAAAAGCUUGCUUCGGUAUUAAAUUUAUGAUUCUAUGUUUUAUACGACUGAAAAUUAUUCUAUUUACGAUUGAAGCUUCAAAAGUACGAUAUUAUAACACUUUUGCGAUAGUCUGAAAUAUCAGACUUUGUCAGAUUUAGGAAAUGAUAUUAACGCAUACAAACAGACAUAAAAUUUCGAACAAGUUUUCACUAAAAACAUCAUUCCGAAUUGGUAACCACAAAACAUGUAUGCGAUUGCAUGGCAUUGCGCGAUGACUGUUGUUUAAUUGAAAAUUUCAAAACGAAAGUUUCUUUUGCCUUGGCUUCUAUGUUUGAUUUUUAGAUGUAGUUUGAUGCAAAAACAAAUUUUCUCGAGUUUGGACACAUUUCAGCUUGAGGGGCAACAAUGCACAGUAGUACAGAAAUGCAAUCUAGCGGAACGAAAUUGAUAACUCCGGAUCGUGUUGGUUUUUUGAGAUAGUGUUUCUGGCAACGUUCAUGAGAAUAAUCAAGGAAUAUUUUUGUAUGAAAAUAUUUGAACUAAACGUGUAAUAAACUAGUACUAAAUUUUUUUUCUUCAUUUUGUCCAGUUGAGAUGGAUGUUUUUUUUUCAAUGUUGUUUUUUAGCCAAUAAUAUGAAACUUCUGCGAAGUCGAAACUAUUCAAGAAGCCACAGUGUAUGAAAUAUUAAUUUUUUUGGAUUUUUAUUUUUUUUUUCAAACUGUACUAACAAACUUUAUGAGUUUGUUAUUAUAAAUCUUUUCAACUAUGAGUUUUUCCGUAGAAAUAAGGAUGGGUAUGGCCUGUAGUUUUUAAGAUAUCUAAAAGGAAAUUUUUGGCCAGGACGAGUCAAAACAUAAAAGCUUCGCUCAAGUUAUGAGACAAAAUCAUCGCAUCUUCGAGAAAGUUGAAGUUAUUAAACAAUCAAAUCAAACUAAAGCGUUGCCACCAACUACUGGUCAGGGGGGAAAUCUUCAUUAUAAAAAUUAGUUUGACUCACAAUAUAUAUUGAAGCUUGUUUGAGAAAAAAAUUCUCCCGCAAAAAAAAAAAAACAAACUCUUGAAAAAAUCGGAAAUAAAAGAAACUUUAAACUGAAUCCGAUAUUCGAUUUACCCGCUUGGUCAAGAAAGGCCAAUUAAGACAAACAAAUUCUUUCCAGAUUUGCAACAGCACGAGUUAUGGCACUUACAGGUUAUACAACCGGUUCGAUUUCCGGGAAACUCAUCGAUUGGAAGUGCUAUGUUUUCCGACACACACAAAAUGCAUCGCAGUAGGGAAAGCACAGAAGACGGGCUCGAACCGGGAAGCGGCACCGAAAGCGAGGGAUUCGUCGAGCAAGUGAGGAGAAUGCAAACAACAAGGAGAGAGCAGCUGGUUUUGUGACGGAGGAAGAGGUGCAUUGGCACGAGAAUGACGAAUUUGCGCUGAAAUGAUAUUUUGCCAACCUCGGACUCAGCCCCGCCUGUGCCGCGGUUUAUCGAAAAAGGUUGCCCUUGAAUCGUGUACUGCCACCGUCGUCAAUGUUAUAACACAGGCUGCGGAUUUGGUUAUACUGUUUGGCUAAGCAACUGGCAAAAAACUUUUCCUAAGCUGAUUAACACGAAGUUUUUUUGCUGUAAAAGAUACUUUUACUAAUGAGAUGUUUGAUAUCUUUUAAGGAUGAUAUUGCUGCUUUAAUUAGCUGUCCUAAAAGGGAGUGCGCGGUUCCACUUCCACGCGAAAGGCAAGUCAAAGAGGUUAAGGUGUUUUUGGGUUGGAAUUCGGCUCACUUGGAUGCUGCCAAAAGUGACGGGAGAGAGAGAACACGCGCGACUGAAAAUAAAACUAGAAAACGAAUGCGCAGGCGAAAAGACGGACCGACGAAGGUGUUAUAAAAAUAAAAUUACAUCAACAUUGCAAAACUAGGAUAUGCAACUUGAAAUUAGGGUUUUUGCGCUUCUCUUCGGUCGAUGCUGCAACGAUGGUGGUGAGGUUUUUUUCCCCUGGGAGAAGGAAAGAGGCUGCGCGGAAUACAUAAAUAGAGGUGUCUUGUGACUGCAUAUCGACAAUUAUUUCUUGGUCUUCGUUGUCUGUCGUGGUAACGAAACAGCAGCGUUAUGCAUGGCCGGGUGCACUGUUAGUUGCACCCCGAUUCAAAUGGUCAUUUAGAUUGGAACUCGUUCGAAAGCUGGCUCGAAGUUGCUUGGGAUGGGAUCUAAAGUUUUGCGGUCAGCAGCCGAUAAAAUCCGCAAACACUUUGGCCGGAAACUGCACCGCAUCAGGCAAUAUUUGAAAAACCAAAUGGUCAGUGUUGCUUUUUAUUGCUGAACGCUCGCUGGAUUGAUGUAGUUGUUUUUAUUAAAUAAAAAAAAUCUUCAAGUUUUCAGAAUAA